AAUCAACGCUGGCGGCGUGCCUAACACAUGCAAGUCGAACGCGAAAAGGGGCAACCCUGAGUAGAGUGGCGUCCGGGUGAGUAACACGUGGAUAAUCUGCCUGCGGGCGGGGAAUAACUUUCCGAAAGGGGAGCUAAUACCGCAUAACACCGUAAUAGGGCAUCCUGAUACGGUCAAAGAGGGGGAUCGCAAGACCUCUCGCCUGCAGAGGAGUCCGCGGCCGAUUAGCUAGUUGGCGAGGUAACGGCUCACCAAGGCAGCGAUCGGUAGCCGGCCUGAGAGGGCGAACGGCCACACUGGCACUGAAAUACGGGCCAGACUCCUACGGGAGGCAGCAGUGGGGAAUUUUGGGCAAUGGCCGAAAGGCUGACCCAGCAAACGCCGCGUGAAGGAUGACGGCCUGGUGUAAC
This 410-nucleotide ribosomal RNA is filed under the name uncultured bacterium. Its description in RNAcentral is "bacterial SSU rRNA". It matches the Rfam family "Bacterial small subunit ribosomal RNA", at positions 29 to 429 of the family's 1533-position model. The record is from RNAcentral.